This 492-nucleotide ribosomal RNA is filed under the name uncultured bacterium. RNAcentral's name for it is "partial 16S ribosomal RNA". It matches the Rfam family "Bacterial small subunit ribosomal RNA", at positions 29 to 507 of the family's 1533-position model. The record is from RNAcentral.
AUUGAACGCUGGCGGCAUGCUUUACACAUGCCAGUCGAACGGUAACAGGCCUUCGGGUGCUGACGAGUGGCGAACGGGUGAGUAAUGCAUCGGAACGUACCCAGAGGUGGGGGAUAACGCAGCGAAAGCUGUGCUAAUACCGCAUGUGAUCUGAGGAUGAAAGCGGGGGACCGAGCAGCAAUGUUUGGCCUCGCGCCUUUGGAGCGGCCGAUGUCGGAUUAGCUAGUUGGUGGGGUAAAGGCCUACCAAGGCGACGAUCCGUAGCUGGUCUGAGAGGACGACCAGCCACACUGGGACUGAGACACGGCCCAGACUCCUACGGGAGGCAGCAGUGGGGAAUUUUGGACAAUGGGCGGAAGCCUGAUCCAGCAAUGCCGCGUGCGGGAAGAAGGCCUUCGGGUUGUAAACCGCUUUUGGCAGGAACGAAACGGUGUCCGCUAAUACCGGGCGCUAAUGACGGUACCUGCAGAAUAAGCACCGGCUAACUACGUG